Peromyscus maniculatus bairdii (prairie deer mouse) is the source of this 2126-nucleotide non-coding RNA. The record is from RefSeq and is a predicted model, not a curated record. NCBI's taxonomy places the organism in Eukaryota, Metazoa, Chordata, Mammalia, Rodentia, Cricetidae.
UGUAGUGGUACUCUAGUGGAUAAUUAUGCCUAAAUUUAGGGUGGUGGUGGCUGUCAAGUCUAUCAUGGUGGAGAGGUGCUUGGAGCAUAGACAGCGGCCAUGAGAAACACAUCUGUCAUAAGCCUGACUGAUGCACCCUUGUCCUCAACUCUGCCUGAGAGUGGGGAACCUUUUGGUCACAUUCACUGGUAACUUAUAGUCAUGUCAUAAGCAAACCUUUUUUGAAGAGAUUUUCCUAGUUGCCCCUUUGGAAACAGUUAUUCUGAGCAACUAAUGAUUUCUACAAGGAGGAUACAGACUUGCUGAGAGUGCCACAUAGCAAAUGUUUUAGACUAUCUCCUCUUUCUGUAAUAAGUGAGGACUAGAAAAUAAAUAAAUGAAAGAGUAAAACUACCAGUGUGUACUGAAAUAUGAAUUUCCUAUAGUUUUUUUUUUUUUUUGUUUUGUUUUGUUUUUUGAGAUAGGAUUUCUCUGUGUAACUUCCGCAUUUGUCCUGGAAUUCACUUUGUAGCCCAGACUGUCCUCGAACUCACAGCCUGCCUCUGCCUCCCAAGCACUGGGAUUAAAUGCGUGUGCCACCACCACCUGGUACCUCCUGUCAUCUUUAAAAUAGUCACCUCAGGCCCAAGUGCUGGGAUUAAAGGGUUGCGCCACGUCUGCCUGGCGAAUUUCCUAUAGUUUUAAUGUGUCACAUUAUUCUGAUGGCUUUUUACAUUUUAUUCAGCCGUUUACAAAUGUAAAGGUUGUCCUUAACUUAGUUGCUGUACAAAAACAAGUUGUUACCCCAAGUGCAUUUCUGUUACAAGAAACUUUGAGGUAGAGAGAGUAAGGAGACUGAGACGCUAAUUCCUUUCAUCCCUAAGGGUCACAAGUCCUUACAGUUAUUAUUAUUUAUAAUGCUAUAUUUUAUUCUUCUAUUUGAGUUUGGGAACCCAAGAGACAAAACCGUAUACAAACAAGGAACCACCAGCCAGCACAGCAAAGUGAAGUCCCAGAAGAGCAGUGUCUCUAGGAAGGUAAUUAACACAUUACUAACAGUAGCUUACAGAGGUCAGGCCCCAUGGGAGAGAAGCUAACAGGUUUUGUCAGACUUAGGUACAGAUGUGUAGGAAGUGGAUUUGGGGUCUCUAAUAGUGGCACUAGACCCUCUAAGAAUAUAUUGUAAAGGUUUCCUAUGUUGUUCCCAUUUUGAUAAAAACAGCUAUAUUUCUAUGAUGAGUGGAGGAAGAUUCAUACUGCAAACUUUUAUCAGAAGAAUUUUUUGCCUCAUUAUAUUGCUUUCUCAAGACCUCACAUUCCUGUAGGAUUUAAGUGCCCGGUAUGCUCAAAAUUUGUACCUUCAGAUGAAAUGGAUUUACAUCUUGUGAUGUGUUUAACAAAGCCAAGAAUAACCUAUAAUGGGAUUAUUUCACAUUUCAGCUGCUUUUGUUUUCUUCUGCUAUCAUUGAGGGGUCAAGAAAAAGUAAAGCUUCAGAGGAUGUGCUGAGUAAAGAUGCUGGGGAAUGUGCAAUAUGCCUUGAGGAAUUGCAGCAGGGAGAUACCAUAGCACGACUGCCUUGCCUGUGUAUAUACCAUAAAGGCUGCAUAGAUGAAUGGUUUGAAGUAAAUAGAUCUUGUCCAGAGCACCCUUCAGAUUAAGCAUCAGAUUCCUGUGUUAUGGAGCAGCUCUCCUCUGAGUUAAAAUUUACAUGUAACAGAAACACCGAGGGGAAACAGCGCCUAAGGAAUUGGACAGAAAUGUACCUGCGUGGCUUUUCUCCACAACCGAAAUAGAGAAAUUUCCAUCAUCCUCAAAGUUACCUCAUGUCCCUUGAGUAGGUUCCCGUCCAUCUACCCUCAGCCCCAGCCACUGCUGUCUGCUUUGUGUUGUUGUGGAUUAGGGGAAAUCAGUAUGGCUUUUAUUUGUGUGUGGUUUCACUCAGCGUGACUCUGUGAAAAGCACACAUGUUACUUGAGUCAGUUUUCUUCUGAGUAAUAUUCUGUUACAUGAAGAUGCUGUUAUCCUAUUGGUGUGGACCUCAGCUGUUUUUAGUUUGGGUUAUUAUGAAUAAAUGAUUGUGAACAUUUAUAUACAAUGUGUGUGAACAUAUAACUCCAUUUUUCUUCAAUAAAUAUUGGUGGUAAAA